UACGUAGGGGGCUAGCGUUGUCCGGAAUCAUUGGGCGUAAAGAGCGUGUAGGCGGCCCGGUAAGUCCGCUGUGAAAGUCGGGGGCUCAACCCUCGAAUGCCGGUGGAUACUGUCGGGCUAGAGUGCGGAAGAGGCGAGUGGAAUUCCUGGUGUAGCGGUGAAAUGCGCAGAUAUUAGGAGGAACACCAAUUGCGAAGGCAGCUCGCUGGGACGUAACGUGACGCUGAGACGCGAAAGCGUGGGGAGCAAACAGGG
This 255-nucleotide ribosomal RNA is filed under the name uncultured bacterium. Its description in RNAcentral is "partial 16S ribosomal RNA". It matches the Rfam family "Bacterial small subunit ribosomal RNA", at positions 524 to 777 of the family's 1533-position model. The record is from RNAcentral.